GUGUGUGUGUGUGUGUGUGUGUGCUGGUUCUACAGGGUGGCGGCUGCUAGGGAAGAGUAUCUGCAGAGGAGGCAGGAGGCCAGACAGUACAAACUGAGGGCUGAGAAGCAGCUGGUGAGUCUUCCUCACGCUCGGCCUCCGUGGGAUUCGCCAAGCGGAGAGGCGCAGAACUGAUCCGCGGCUGGAUCGCCGUUCCCGUCGUACCGCGGUACGCGCAGAAUUAAUUAUUCGCACGGGAAAAAUGGCUAAAAAAGCCGCUGAGAUCAGCGUUCUCGUGCGUGUCGCCCUCAUCUCCGCGCGCUCACCGCGUUGGUGGUCCGAGGGGUGAGGAAGCGAGGCCUCGCUGCCCCGUUUCCCGUUCGCUCUCUCACUAGCGCCCCCCCGCUCCCUCUGCCACCCAGGGCCUGCGCCCCUCCUCCUCACACCAGCAGAGAGAUGCAGAGCCAGGACAGGGGGUGCCAGCUCUACCACGAAGCCAGUGCCGACGGCCCGGUCCGGUCAGGAAGCGGGAUGACCAGCAGAGCCGAGGAGCGGCGAGACGGCAGCGCCGCCCUCCCGGCAGCGAGACGCCGUGUCCGUUUUCCGGGACGAAUCGUGCGCGCGACGCGUCGGGGAAGCCGGUGCCGAUCCGGUAGCCUACGACGCUCCUGUGCGUAGCGGGGUGCGUAGUGAGAGCGUACCUGUGUGCGCAGGAGUACCUGACGCAGCUGCGGCGCAUCCGGGAGCAGUACCAUCGAGAGGUGCAGGAGAUGAGGAGGAGGGCCGCGGGGGAGGUACGCAGCGCCGCGCCGUGCCGUGCCGUAUUGUGUCUUUACCGCGGUACUCUUGUACCGCAACACCUAGCAGCAGGGAGCAGAGUGGAGGCUGCAGGUUCAGAUCUCACUGGCUGCUGCUCGCGUACCUUUUAGCAAGGUACUUAUUCUGAAUUUAGUUGAGCGGUAGCGUAGUGGUUAGAGCUGCUGCGAUUAGACCCAAAGGUCACGGGUUUGAUUCCCACCUUUGGCUGUAGUACCAUUGUGUAACAUACUUACCCUAAUUACUGUGGUAAAAUUACCCAGGUGUAUAAACAGGUAAACAAUUGUAAGUUGCUUUGGAGAAAAGUGUCACAUAAAGGAGUAACUGUAGGUAUAUAAAUGGGUAAAUCAGUGUAAACACCUUAAAAUUACACAGUAAUUAUGGAAGGAGAGACCAUAACAAUAUUAGGUCUUUCCAUCAGUUUAAGGGCCCAUGAGCACCGGGGGGUUGCUUGGUUUGCGCUCCCUUAACCACUACAUUUGGUCCCCUAUUACAGCUGGUCCUGUAGUGGUUAGAGCUGCGAAGGUUGCUGGUUCAAAUCCCGCCUCCGGCUGUAGUACCCUCGAGCAAGGUACUUUACCCUGAAACCACUCCAGUAAAAUGACCCGGGUGUAUAAAUGGGUAAAUCACAGCAGGCACCUUAACGCCGUCGGUCACUCUGGAGAAACGAACGCCUCGCGGGUCCAUGGGUCCCAGCGGUGACCCCGGGUGAACCCCUGCGCCGCCUGUUCAUCUUCGUCACGCGGUGCAGUGUAUCGGUGGUGUGUGUUAACCUCCCCAGCCCCAGGACGCAGCGAGGGAGCAGCCUUUGGCGGAGAGUCCUCCUGGUCCCGGGGGCGGAGCCCAGAGCCGGCGGAGCGAC
RNAcentral lists this long non-coding RNA (1657 nucleotides) under Scleropages formosus (Asian bonytongue). RNAcentral describes it as "lncRNA (ENSSFOG00015028232.1)". The record is from RNAcentral. Lineage: Eukaryota; Metazoa; Chordata; Actinopteri; Osteoglossiformes; Osteoglossidae.